AUUCUCAGUUCGGAUUGUAGGCUGAAACUCGCCUACAUGAAGCUGGAGUUACUAGUAAUCGCAGAUCAGAAUGCUGCGGUGAAUGCGUUUCCGGGUCUUGUACACACCGCCCGUCACACCACGGAAGUUGGGGGCGCCCGAAGCCACUUAGCUAACCCUUUUGGGAAGCGAGUGUCGAAGGUGAAAUCAAUAACUGGGGUGAAGUCGUAACAAGGUAGC
This 219-nucleotide ribosomal RNA is filed under the name uncultured bacterium. Its description in RNAcentral is "partial 16S ribosomal RNA". It matches the Rfam family "Bacterial small subunit ribosomal RNA", at positions 1284 to 1500 of the family's 1533-position model. The record is from RNAcentral.